Molecule: long non-coding RNA, 357 nt
Organism: Jatropha curcas
Lineage: Eukaryota; Viridiplantae; Streptophyta; Magnoliopsida; Malpighiales; Euphorbiaceae
Source: RefSeq, a predicted model, not a curated record
UAAAUACCCAUUCUUGAUUUUGUGGAGGAAAAAAGAUAGAUAUGGUGAAGAAACAACGCUUGUUGAUUGCUUUAGCAUGGCUGCUAGUGGUGGCAUCGAUUGCCAUUUCUGCAAAUGCAACAGCUGCCCCUCGCCUGCGGGCAUCUGAAGAUGUGGUUCAUCCCCAAGGUUGUCGCUGCUGCUUUUUCGUGGGUAGGGUUCCAAAUCUCCGUUGUGGAAAAGUCUGUUGUGGGGACGAUUGUUGCUUCUGAUGAAUCAAUGGGAGUAAUUAUGUAAUUCAUCAAAUAUAAAAAUAUGAAAGUAUAUUGUUAUAUUUUGAUAUCAUGAAUAAGAAGCUCUUUACAGUUUUUAUGCUUU